Molecule: ribosomal RNA, 1498 nt
Filed under: Alcaligenes faecalis
Lineage: Bacteria; Pseudomonadati; Pseudomonadota; Betaproteobacteria; Burkholderiales; Alcaligenaceae
Description: bacterial SSU rRNA
Rfam family: Bacterial small subunit ribosomal RNA
Source: RNAcentral
AGAGUUUGAUCCUGGCUCAGAUUGAACGCUAGCGGGAUGCUUUACACAUGCAAGUCGAACGGCAGCGCGAGAGAGCUUGCUCUCUUGGCGGCGAGUGGCGGACGGGUGAGUAAUAUAUCGGAACGUGCCCAGUAGCGGGGGAUAACUACUCGAAAGAGUGGCUAAUACCGCAUACGCCCUACGGGGGAAAGGGGGGGAUCGCAAGACCUCUCACUAUUGGAGCGGCCGAUAUCGGAUUAGCUAGUUGGUGGGGUAAAGGCUCACCAAGGCAACGAUCCGUAGCUGGUUUGAGAGGACGACCAGCCACACUGGGACUGAGACACGGCCCAGACUCCUACGGGAGGCAGCAGUGGGGAAUUUUGGACAAUGGGGGAAACCCUGAUCCAGCCAUCCCGCGUGUAUGAUGAAGGCCUUCGGGUCGUAAAGUACUUUUGGCAGAGAAGAAAAGGUACCUCCUAAUACGAGGUACUGCUGACGGUAUCUGCAGAAUAAGCACCGGCUAACUACGUGCCAGCAGCCGCGGUAAUACGUAGGGUGCAAGCGUUAAUCGGAAUUACUGGGCGUAAAGCGUGUGUAGGCGGUUCGGAAAGAAAGAUGUGAAAUCCCAGGGCUCAACCUUGGAACUGCAUUUUUAACUGCCGAGCUAGAGUAUGUCAGAGGGGGGUAGAAUUCCACGUGUAGCAGUGAAAUGCGUAGAUAUGUGGAGGAAUACCGAUGGCGAAGGCAGCCCCCUGGGAUAAUACUGACGCUCAGACACGAAAGCGUGGGGAGCAAACAGGAUUAGAUACCCUGGUAGUCCACGCCCUAAACGAUGUCAACUAGCUGUUGGGGCCGUUAGGCCUUAGUAGCGCAGCUAACGCGUGAAGUUGACCGCCUGGGGAGUACGGUCGCAAGAUUAAAACUCAAAGGAAUUGACGGGGACCCGCACAAGCGGUGGAUGAUGUGGAUUAAUUCGAUGCAACGCGGAAAACCUUACCUACCCUUGACAUGUCUGGAAAGCCGAAGAGAUUUGGCCGUGCUCGCAAGAGAACCGGAACACAGGUGCUGCAUGGCUGUCGUCAGCUCGUGUCGUGAGAUGUUGGGUUAAGUCCCGCAACGAGCGCAACCCUUGUCAUUAGUUGCUACGCAAGAGCACUCUAAUGAGACUGCCGGUGACAAACCGGAGGAAGGUGGGGAUGACGUCAAGUCCUCAUGGCCCUUAUGGGUAGGGCUUCACACGUCAUACAAUGGUCGGGACAGAGGGUCGCCAACCCGCGAGGGGGAGCCAAUCUCAGAAACCCGAUCGUAGUCCGGAUCGCAGUCUGCAACUCGACUGCGUGAAGUCGGAAUCGCUAGUAAUCGCGGAUCAGAAUGUCGCGGUGAAUACGUUCCCGGGUCUUGUACACACCGCCCGUCACACCAUGGGAGUGGGUUUCACCAGAAGUAGGUAGCCUAACCGUAAGGAGGGCGCUUACCACGGUGGGAUUCAUGACUGGGGUGAAGUCGUAACAAGGUAGCC